RNAcentral lists this ribosomal RNA (317 nucleotides) under uncultured eukaryote. RNAcentral describes it as "partial 18S ribosomal RNA". It matches the Rfam family "Eukaryotic small subunit ribosomal RNA", at positions 1470 to 1796 of the family's 1831-position model. The record is from RNAcentral.
CCCUUAGAUGUUCUGGGCCGCACGCGCGCUACACUGAUGCAUUCAACGAGUCUAAAACCUGGUCUGAUAGGGCUGGGUAAUCUUUUGAAUGUGCACCGUGAUUGGGAUAGAUGAUUGCAAUUCUUCAUCUUCAACGAGGAAUGCCUAGUAAACGCAAGUCAUCAGCUUGCAUUGAUUACGUCCCUGCCCUUUGUACACACCGCCCGUCGCACCUACCGAUUGAAUGGUCCGGUGAAGCCUCGGGAUUGUGACUGGCUCUGCCACGUUGCGAGAACUUGUCUAAACCUUAUCAUUUAGAGGAAGGUGAAGUCGUAACA